This 407-nucleotide long non-coding RNA is filed under the name Actinidia chinensis (golden kiwifruit). RNAcentral's name for it is "long non-coding RNA (ACHI_LNC004558)". Lineage: Eukaryota; Viridiplantae; Streptophyta; Magnoliopsida; Ericales; Actinidiaceae. The record is from RNAcentral.
CGGUUCCCAGAUUGCUUGUUCGCUAUAGCUGCCAGAAUUGUUUCACCGCUCUUACGAAGCAGAGGAGCGGAGAAUCUGGAAAGCCGAACAAUCACAUCUAAUGAGAUUUUUUAAAAAAAAAAAAAAAGACUUUCCACACACUUUCCUUUCCACACAUCUAAUCUCCAAAAUAUUGAGGCAUUAAACGAUAACAGCCUCCAUUACUACAGGAAGUAGAACACAAACUUGUUCCAGAGAGAACUCAAAAUCUCAAACAACUAAGUUGGAGAGGGAGAGAGAGUUACAUGAGUUGCUGAAACCUCUAAUCAUGGAGAUUCAUCAUCCUUCUUCAUAUGGCCAUAAGAUCACCAAAUUGGCGCAUCAAAAUAAUAGAGCCAGCAAAGAGCCCUGCAGCACGGAGCAGUUUC